Molecule: ribosomal RNA, 697 nt
Filed under: Pilaira sp. KH13
Lineage: Eukaryota; Fungi; Mucoromycota; Mucoromycetes; Mucorales; Mucoraceae
Description: eukaryotic LSU rRNA
Rfam family: Eukaryotic large subunit ribosomal RNA
Source: RNAcentral
GCGGAGGAAAAGAAAAUAACAAUGAUUUCCCUAGUAACGGCGAGUGAAGAGGAAAGAGCUCAAAGUUGGAACCUGUUUGGCUUAGCUAAACCGGAUUGUAAACUGUAGAAGUGUUUUCCUGACACGCCUGGUAAAAAAGUCCUUUGGAACAGGGCAUCAUAGAGGGUGAGAAUCCCGUGUUUGGCCAGAGCUGUUGUCUUUUGUGAUACAUUUUCAAAGAGUCAGGUUGUUUGGGAAUGCAGCCUAAAUUGGGUGGUAAAUCUCACCUAAAGCUAAAUAUUUGCGAGAGACCGAUAGCGAACAAGUACCGUGAGGGAAAGAUGAAAAGAACUUUGAAAAGAGAGUUAAACAGUAUGUGAAAUUGUUAAAAGGGAACCGUUUGGAGCCAGACUGGCUUGACUGUAAUCAAUCUAGGCUUCGGCCUGGAUGCACUUGCGGUUUAUGCCUGCCAACGACAAUUUUUUUUGAGGGAAAAAACUAUUAGGAAUGUGGCCCCUCUCGGGGGGUGUUAUAGCCUUUUAGAAAAUACCUUGAAUUGGAUUGAGGAACGCAGUGAAUGCCUUUAGGCAAGAUUGCUGGGUGCUUUUGUUAAUAAAUGCUAGAAUUUCUGCUUCGGGUGGUGCUAGUGUUUAAAGAUGGAACUCGCCUAGUAUAUUUUUUAUUCGCUUAGGUUGUUGGCUUAAUGACUCUAAAUGAC